Molecule: long non-coding RNA, 668 nt
Organism: Carlito syrichta (Philippine tarsier)
Lineage: Eukaryota; Metazoa; Chordata; Mammalia; Primates; Tarsiidae
Exons: 2
Source: RefSeq, a predicted model, not a curated record
CUCACCACCCCCGUUCUGCCCCCAGCACGAUGGCCAGCCUUACUGCCACAAACCCUGCUAUGGAAUACUUUUCGGACCCAAGGGAGUGAACACCGGCGCCGUGGGCAGCUACAUCUAUGACAGGGACCCCGAAGGCAAAGUCCAGCCCUAGGCGCAGCCCCUCCAAGGGGCAGGGGCCCAUCUGCCUCCCGCCGGACCCUGCCUGGGGCCCACAGCUUGGUUCUGGGCGCGGGUGACCCGCUGCCCAGCCCUGCCUCAGCGUCCUGCCUGCAAGCCCAGGGAGUUGGGGGAGGGAAACCCCCGGUCUCCUGACCUGCUCGUUGCCCGGCCCACGUCUGUGGUGUGUCUCGUCCUCUCUCUGGCGUCCCCUGUGUGUCCCCAUUACCCUUUUUGUGCCUGUGUGUCUCCAUAUCCCCAUGUUCCCAUGUGUCCCUGUGAACCAGCAUUUCCCCUCAUGUCCCAUGUACCCAGUGGGUCUUCUAGGCUGCUGUCCCGUUCUUCCUCUCCUGCUGCCCCACGCCCACCCACCAGUGUUAUUUAUGCUCCCUUGCUGGUGAUGGCCAUGCCCCUCACAGCGUUCCUGCCUCGCAAGCCCCGCCCACCAGCCUCACGUGGCUCACCCAGCUGCUGAGACUUUUGCUGUCAAUAAAAGGUUUGAGUAUGGCAAG